RNAcentral lists this ribosomal RNA (300 nucleotides) under uncultured Lactobacillus sp. RNAcentral describes it as "bacterial SSU rRNA". It matches the Rfam family "Bacterial small subunit ribosomal RNA", at positions 496 to 795 of the family's 1533-position model. Lineage: Bacteria; Bacillati; Bacillota; Bacilli; Lactobacillales; Lactobacillaceae. The record is from RNAcentral.
GUGAACGCGGGGACGGAGGCGGUGGGAAUACAGAGGGUGCAAGCGGUGGUCGGAAUCAUUGGGCGUAAAGCGCUCGUAGGAUGCUUGUUAAGUCGGAUGUGAAAGGCCCAGGCUCAACCUGGGAAGUGCAUUCGAAACUGGCGAGCUUGAAUGUCGGAGAGGGCAGUGGAAUUCCGAGUGUAGAGGUGAAAUUCGUAGAUAUUCGGAGGAACACCAGUGGCGAAGGCGACUGCCUGGACGAACAUUGACGCUGAGGAGCGAAAGCGUGGGGAGCAAACAGGAUUAGAUACCCCGGUAGUC